AGAAUCUUUUUUUUUUGUAAAUUAAUAAACCUAUAAAUUAAUAAAAUAUCAUAGUCCCAACACUAUUAAUUUAUAGAGUUUUUACUGUACUUUAUAUUUUCAAACAACACAAUAAUUAACCUUAUGUCUAAACAAUAUAUUACAUUAGGUGUUAUCUUUUUAAUAAAUUUCUAUUAAUUUUCUUUCAAAGUAUUUGAUAAAUUAAAUAAUUUACGAAAUGUUCAAAUAAGUUAUGAAAAAAAAUUAUAACUUAUUUUUGUAGGUUUAGAUACUACAAAAUAAUUUCUACCAAUAUCAAAUAAAUUAACCUAAUGGAUUAUUUUAUUUAUAUUUUCAUUAAAAAUGACAUAUCUCUUAUUAAAAUAGAAAUAUUCAUUUGGACUCAACCUUCUUGUUGUAAGAUUUUAAAUUAAAUACAGUUCUCUAUUAUAAAGUAAUUAUGGAAAAAAUAUUAUACUAGUACCUAUAUUUCCAAACAACACAAUAAUUAAUAUAUUUUUUAUGAAAUUUCAAAUUUAUUGAUAAAACAAAGUAUGAAAAAUUACAUUUACAAAAGAAUGGUGAUUCUAGAAAGAAUAGGCUCAAGUGUAAAAAUAGAAAGCAGACAGAAACUCGUAAACUCCUCCCUAUCUAGUAACCUCGAACCACCUUUGAAGCAAGCCUGCAUUGCGAUGAUGAGGACUAUAUUUGAGAGGCAUAAUCAUGUUUCGCAUUGUCUUGUCUAUAGUCAUGUGAAGGUGAUCCGUAGAUGUCAAGCUCAUCUGAUGCAUUCUUGCAUUUCUUUCUCUCCACACAUGAUAGAUGGUCAUUUGAAAGACCAUCUUUAUCAGUAUAGAGUCAAGCUGGUGAAGUCUGUUUCCCUUAACCAUAUUAAGGGUGUGUGUCCAGUCAGGAUCUGUUCUCGCUCCAAAAAACCCUCUCACCAAUCCUUCCCAGACCGUAAAUGAGUACGGACAAGCGAAAACAGGUGAUCUCUUGUCUCAUCCCGCUCUACACACAGCCCACAGCCCUGAAUUAUAACCCAGCUCCUCAUCAUGUCUCCUGUGGAGAGUCUACUCAAUACAUCCAGCCAAGUGAUGAAUGCAUAACGUGGAACUCCUUGCGAGAACCACACUACAUUUCGCCAGUAAACUUAUCCCUUCGAGGUCUUAUCUGCUCCCAUGUGCUUGAUGAAGCAAUUUUUUCCUGGUAAUCAUCCUCUCCAUGCUUCCGCAACACAAUAUCAUCACCAAGAUUUGCAUCAGGAAUUGGCUCUGCAAGGAUCUAAUUAUAAAGAGCUUGAAACCGCCUAUUGCGCUUGCCUCUAACACACCAUCUCUCUGAAUUAACAUCUUCACUAACUAGAGCCUUAUGAGGAAGGCCUAGAUAGAUGGUCCCAACAGCUCAUGUUACAUCAAUCAGCCUACCAUUCUUCAUCCAAUUAUCAAACCAAAAAUAAGUAGUAGACCCAUUCAUUACAAGAAAAAAUCGUUUUCAUAGCACUACAGUAUAGCGUUUUUUGUCUUUCCGCUAUGGUUGAUAUACCCUUAAUUUUAGAUAACGUUUGUAUAUUUGGAAACGCUAUGAUAGAAUGGUAUAUUCGGAAACGCUAUGAUAGCCUAUUUUUAAUAGCAGAAUAUAAUGAAAUGCUAUAUUUAGCUUUUUGAAUCCCCAAACCCUAAACAAAUUUUUAAUCCCUAAACUAUAAAACACAACUUAAAACUCUAAUAUUCUCAUACUAUAACUUUAGAUCGUAAACAUAAACUCGAAAUUUACUCUUUUUAAUAUUAAUAUAUAACUUUCAAAACACAAGCCUUAAAUCUUCAAUCAAACUCUAACAAUAUAAAUCCAAUCCCUAAACCACAUACUUUAACAUAUAUCAUAAGAACAUUAAACCUCAAACUUUAAAUAAAAUAUAAUUUUUAUAAUAUAUAUCUCAGACUAUGUAUAAUAUUUCAAAUUUACAUUAUACAAUUCAAAAAUAAAAAUAAAACCAUUAAAUAAAAAAAACACAAAAAGAUGAUUAUAGAUAAAUGAACAGAUAAUUCUUAUUAGUUUAAUUUUGGGCCUUUGAUUAGUUUUGAUCCAAAGGCUAAAAAUCACUCUUUUGUGAUCUUCCUUCUUCGUUCUUAUUGGUCCAUUCUUCAAAAUUUGGAUUAAUAUUUCUGACCAUUGAUUAUUUGUAAUCCAGUGGCCAAGAAUUCAUCUUUUCAUUUUCCUUCUUCUAGAGUUUAUCGAUCUCUUCCUCUCUGUAUCAUUCCCUUCAUCUCCCUCACUGUCUCAAACACACACACACGAUUCAUGUAACACACAUCUCCUUUCUCUGUAAUACUCUCCUCACACACACACGAUUCUGAAGGUGGAGUCGAACCCAGAACCCAGCGACCGCGGAUCUGAAGAUGCUUGACCACCGCCAUCUCCCCCUUUCGCCACCGUCUCUCUCACCACCACUGAUGUGGUAGUCAUUGGGUUUGCGGCUAGGAGGCGAUGGAGAAGCUGGUGGUCGUGAAGAGAGGUGGUGGUCAUGGGGCUUGCGGCGAGGAGGGGACGGAGAAGUGGGUGGUCGGAGCAGAGUGGUGGUCAUGGGGUUUGCAGCGAGGAGGAGACGGAGAAGUUGGUGGCCGUGAGAAGAGGUUGUGGUCAUGGGGCUUGCGGCGAGGAACGGAGAAGUUCGUGAGGAGGCUGGCUCAAGAAGAUUAGGUUUUGAUUAGGUUUAAUUAAAUUUAGGUUAGAUUAGAUUUAAUUUUUAAAACAUUUGGUUUAGUGUUAAGUGUAAACCGAUUCUUAUCUUUUAUCAAAUGUAAUUUAUAUUGUUUAAUAAAAAAUAAUUUAUUAUGUUUUUAA
Long non-coding RNA from Brassica napus (rape), 2823 nucleotides. RefSeq lists it as uncharacterized. The record is from RefSeq and is a predicted model, not a curated record. Lineage: Eukaryota; Viridiplantae; Streptophyta; Magnoliopsida; Brassicales; Brassicaceae. The transcript is spliced from 2 exons.